GACGAACGCUGGCGGCGUGCCUAACACAUGCAAGUCGAACGGGACCAGGGGCAACUCUGGUUCAGUGGCGGACGGGUGCGUAACACGUGAGGAACAUGACCUUCGGCGGGGGAGUAGCCGGCCCAACGGCCGGGUAAUACCGCGUACGACCGCAUGGGACGAUCCCUCGAGCGGUGAAAGCAGCAAUGCGCCGAUGGAGUGCCUCGCGGCCUAUCAGCUAGUUGGUGAGGUAACGGACGUCACCAAGGCGACGACGGGUAGGCUGGUCUGAGAGGAUGGCCAGCCACAUUGGGACUGAGACACGGCCCAGACUCCUACGGGAGGCAGCAGUGGGGAAUAUUGCGCAAUGGACGAAAGUCUGACGCAGCGACGCCGCGUGUGGGAUGACGGUCUUCGGAUUGUAAACCUCUUUCAGCUCCGACGAAGCGGAAGUGACGGUAGGAGCAGAAGAAGCACCGGCCAACUA
RNAcentral lists this ribosomal RNA (466 nucleotides) under uncultured bacterium. Its description in RNAcentral is "bacterial SSU rRNA". It matches the Rfam family "Bacterial small subunit ribosomal RNA", at positions 28 to 503 of the family's 1533-position model. The record is from RNAcentral.